Molecule: ribosomal RNA, 492 nt
Filed under: Triticum aestivum (bread wheat)
Lineage: Eukaryota; Viridiplantae; Streptophyta; Magnoliopsida; Poales; Poaceae
Description: partial small subunit ribosomal RNA
Source: RNAcentral
AUGCAACUUACUGGAGCACAGCUGAAGGCAGUAUUUGGUCCAAGACCAGCACAGACGAACAUACCACAUCAUAUGGAAAAGAGGAUCCUCGAUGACAUAGCAGAAAUCUGGGAAAGCAGACAAGAAUCAAAACAGAGUGACAGAGUAAUAUUAGGCCCAAACUUUGCAGAGAUAUUCAUUCCAAUGGAGAAGCAUGACCGCUAUGUACUAUAUGUGCUGGACAAAUACAAACACAAAGUUCAUAUUAUUGAUCCUCGAGAAACAACUCACGAGGAAUUUGAUAAAGAAAAGAUAGACAUCGACAAAUUGAUAGAAGAAGAAGCAUGUCGAGUUCUUCAGGAAAAUGAAGAUGCUAGAGAAAAAAGAGAAAGACAGUUUCAGGAAUAUCAUGUUCAUAAGUCGAUAAAAAUAAUUAAUUGCAAAAUACAAUAUUCUCAGGUACCAAUGCCAAGGGUACAAGAUGGCAGACUCAUACCGUGCAAGAUGUUCUAG